This 84-nucleotide ribosomal RNA is filed under the name Neolamprologus brichardi. The record is from RNAcentral. Lineage: Eukaryota; Metazoa; Chordata; Actinopteri; Cichliformes; Cichlidae.
CCAUACUAUCUCAGUCAGCCUUGGAAGAUAACCGGGAUAGUAUUUGGGUGGGAGACCACCUGAGAAUCCCAGGUGUAGCAUUGC